This 253-nucleotide ribosomal RNA is filed under the name uncultured Bacteroidales bacterium. RNAcentral's name for it is "partial 16S ribosomal RNA". It matches the Rfam family "Bacterial small subunit ribosomal RNA", at positions 524 to 776 of the family's 1533-position model. The record is from RNAcentral. Lineage: Bacteria; Pseudomonadati; Bacteroidota; Bacteroidia; Bacteroidales.
UACGGAGGAUCCGAGCGUUAUCCGGAUUUAUUGGGUUUAAAGGGUGCGUAGGCGGCCUUUUAAGUCAGCGGUGAAAGUCUGUGGCUCAACCAUAGAAUUGCCGUUGAAACUGUCAGACUUGAGUUGGCGAGAAGUACGCGGAAUGCGCGGUGUAGCGGUGAAAUGCAUAGAUAUCGCGCAGAACUCCGAUUGCGAAGGCAGCGUACCGGCGCCACACUGACGCUGAGGCACGAAAGCGUGGGGAUCGAACAGG